CCCCACAGAACCUCUCAUCAGAUUCGGACACGUCACCAGAAUAACAAACACUUUCUUUUUGGUUCAACGUGGCAACGAAUCCGAUCCCGAAUGACUCAGUCCGAUCGGACUCCCCAAUCCCGUCAUUCCCCAAUCCACUUUUCGGGGAUGCGGACAAGUGCCAGCAGUGAUCGAAGCUGCUUUACCGGCUAGAUUGGCGGGGACUCGGCGGCGUUGGACGGCGACGGCAUGGUCCCGUUGGCGGUGAUCCUGAGGCGGCAGAUGUCGUGGGAAAGGAUCGAGAAGCCGGACGUACUCUACGAGGCGGCGAGAGAGAGCAAGAAGGGGGAGGACUUCACUCUCGUGAAGACCGAAUGCCAGCGAGUUCCCGGGCAUGGUGACACCACGGUCUCGGUUCCUGCGCUUUUUGAUGGUCACAACGGGUUUGAGCAGCUGCUAUAUACUCCAAGGAGAAUCUCUUGAACAAUGUUUUAAGUGUCAUUCCAUCAGAUCUUAGCAGGAAUGAGUGGAUUCAAGCGUUUCCAAGAGCUUUGGUUGUAGGAUUAGUUAAAACUGAUAAAAAUUUCAAGGAAAUAGGUAUGAGCGAAAUUAUGUAUUGACUUAUUGGAGCUUACAUAUGCUACAACUGAUUAGUUAUCUUCUACAGAAUAACUUCCAGAGUAUAACACUUGUGACCUAUGUGGAGCACCUUAGCUCGGCAGACUAAUGCUUACCAUGAAGAAACAUCUUCUAGAUUAUAAUUUCUCUACGAGGAACUGAUGCAGUAAUAUGCAUCAUUUUCUCAGCUGGUGUUUCUGCUUCAUUAACAUCUCUUCUUUAAUUUCCAUCUUCUGCAGCAUCCUUUUUUUCAGCGUUCUAGCUGACAGAUAUAUCCUUGGAUAUUCUUGCACACAAGUUAAUGACUUUUGUCAGAACUGGUUCUGGGAAGGCAUUGCUGGUGUUUCUGAGCUUGUAUCAAAUAGUACAGUGUACUAACUAGUAACAUGGUACAAGUUUAAUAGAUCAGCAUAAACAUAUUAGAUCCGUAUGGUAUUUGCUGUAGAAAUGGAAUUAUUAACAACAUACUAUAAUAUAUAUAUGUGCAAUUGUCAGCAGUCAGCAGCAUGGAAACAAACUAAGCAAUACAUCUUAUUCUUCAUUAUUCGCACUUUUCUAGCUUUGUGAUGCUUUUUCAAGUCUCUAUAUUUCGUUUUAUUCUUAGAGUUGUUUAUCUUUCUGUUAUAACAACAUAUGUUCCAAGACAAGAAGACAGAGCAGUUCUGCAUUCUAUUUAAUAUUGUAAGGCACCAAUGAGUUUCUUUUUCUUUUUUCUUUAUUAUUUUCCACCCCCUCUCUUGCUUUCAUUUUUUUUCAGUGUUUUUAUGCAUAAAUGAGCAAGAUGCUAUUACUGUUUAUUAUAUAAAGGGCAAAACAAAUUUCGUCUGUAAGCUUGUAAACCUAUGAAGCAUGAAUGCUACAAAAUGUUUGUCAUGUCAAUGCUGAUAAUCACAUGUGGAAUAUUUCAAAAGAAUAAAACUUUUGGAUACAUCUACUUUAUUUUAACAUUAAUGUGUUUUAUGCACUCCAAACAAUUAUAUCAAAUAUAAUAUCUCAGAACAUAAUGAACAUUGGUAGUUUUUGUGUAAUUUGAUUUUUCACUUAACAUUUUGUGUAUUUUUUAAUGUUCUCUAGAUGUUUGUCAUUAUUGAUUCAAGUUUCAUAGAUGAUGGCCAUGGAUUGUCUAGAUUAUCUAGUCUACCAUAGAAAUUGUAAAAAAAUGUCAGAUCAUAUACUUGUAUUAUCUGCUGUGUUCCUGAUAUAUGAGUCUUGAUUUUAUAAAAGAAAUUGUCAUGUCAGCAUGAGAGUGUGAUAUUAAGUUUCUAAGGAAAUUAUCUUGCCUUCAUCUAGUCUCUAUUUAAAUAUUUUCCAGUAUGGCCCUCUUUGGUGCUGGCCUGGUGGCUUGUGCCUAUCAAUCAAAAUUGUUAAGGUGUUGAAGAGGGAGAGGAGAAAAAUUAAAAACCAAAAGAUAAAUCCAUCAGAGAUUAACAAUCAAAAGAAUAUACCAGAAGUCGAUGCAAGAUUUAACGUGGUUCGAUAAUUUUCAUCUGCAUCCAUGGAGAAAACAAAAUUCUUCAAUAUAUGAGAUCAAUUACAAGACCCUUGAAUCAUCCCCACUCAAACAUGAAUUCUCUUGCACACCUCUCUCACAUAAACCUGAAGAAUUUUUCUCUCAAUCCUUUCUAGAAACCCUAAAGAAUACCUUAAGGAGCAAUCAAAGUGCCUUGACUUUUCCUCUCUAAGACUACUUCACUAAAGAAUUUCAAUUUAAUUAGGAUUCUACUAACUAAUUUGAAUACAAUUAAGACUCCUAAAAGUACUAACACAAAGUCUUGUAUACAAUGCCUCUUAUAUCACGGUACAGUUUGAGUUCAAUUUUCAGGAAGCUGUGCACACAGUGGGACUUCAAGAUGAUACUACAUCCAUUGUGGUUGACAUAUUACCAUCAGAGAAAAUAUCACCUUCUUUUCCACCCUUUUAGAGGCCAGGAACAAGUGUAUUUAAGAAUAUGUUCCGCUGAGGAUCUUCUGAAUCAUCAUUAUUUUCAGAUAGAGACUAUUCUGAAGCAGAUAUGGUUGAAGAAAUAUUUAUGGGUCCCCAGUCCUUGCUCAAAGGUUAGAUCUAGAAUAUCCAGUGUGUACCAUGUUCAAGAUGCUCAACUGUGCUGCUAUUUUCCAGUUGGAGAUGAAAGCAAGGGAAGGCGUUUCUGCGCAUGAUGGUUCAUCAAGACCUGGAAAAGUGCAUCCCCGGAAUGGUCUUUUCCUUUGCUCGAUUUGUCAAACCAAGAAGGAAGCCAUGGAAAGAAGACGUCCAUAGGGAGAUUGUGCCUACACAGAUAACUGAAUAAUCGCUGCAACUGUUGGUAUUAAUGGAUCCUACUUCUGGCACAACCUCAUCGGCAGUUCAACAGCUUAUCAAGUCAGCUCUCUAUGCCUCGGCAGCAUGCAAAAGAGCCAGUUCCCCUGCAGAUUGCGGUAACUGAGAACAUUUUGCUCCCUUUACUCUGAGGCCUUAGUAGAUUUGAGAUAACAGUGUGUUACUUUGUCAUCUUGUGUUCCAUAUAUUCGCAAGAAUAGAUCGGAUUAGCAAUUCUUUCCUGGUUAUCUGCCAUGUACAAGAACCGAUGCAGAGGUGUUAAAACGGUCAGUCUGUACUUUGCACCUUUAUUGCUUGCUUAAGCAAGCCUUGUUUUCUUAAUUCGCUAAACAUCGUGGUUAUUAUAUCUCUUUGUUGCUGGUCAGUUGAGAGUGCAAAAUUAACAAACAGGUAUUGCCUUGCUUAAAUGUCCCUCAUUUCUCAUGUCGACGUUUUUUUUUCAUCUUUUCGUUUUAUGGCCUCCAAAAAUAUUGAUCUGUCAAUAACAAACAGUCCUGCAGGAUAUCCAAUCUGUUAAUGGCAAAUUCGAUCAUCAGCCCGACCCGAUGUGUUGAAGCUAACCUGACCUGCUUUUGCAAGAGGCAUUUAACCGGAUUUGGAAUCCCAAAUUUUAUGUGCAAGAAGGUAUUUUUAUUGAGAUGCCUCUGGAACUCAAGUUAGUAAGAUAUUCCGAGGUCAAAAUAUAGUAUUAAACAUGAGAGAGCUUAUAUUAUGCAUGAAACUGUCUUAAUUCUAGUUCAGUAGCUCUUUAUGUGGGAUGUUGAUAUACUGA
This is a long non-coding RNA of Musa acuminata AAA Group (dessert banana), 3685 nucleotides long. RefSeq lists it as uncharacterized. The transcript has 4 exons. NCBI's taxonomy places the organism in Eukaryota, Viridiplantae, Streptophyta, Magnoliopsida, Zingiberales, Musaceae. The record is from RefSeq and is a predicted model, not a curated record.